This 278-nucleotide ribosomal RNA is filed under the name uncultured soil bacterium. RNAcentral describes it as "partial 16S ribosomal RNA". It matches the Rfam family "Bacterial small subunit ribosomal RNA", at positions 26 to 280 of the family's 1533-position model. The record is from RNAcentral.
AGAAUCAACGCUGGCGGCGUGCCUAACACAUGCAAGUCGAACGCGGUUACUACUGCUUCGCAAGAAGUAGUAGUGACUGAGUGGCGAACGGGUGAGUAACACGUGGGUGACCUGCCUUCGAGUGGGGGAUAACGUUCCGAAAGGGACGCUAAUACCGCAUGACAUCCUGCCUUUGAAGAGGUGGAUAUUAAAGCUGGGGAUCGUAAGACCUGGCGCUUGAAGAGGGGCCCGCGUCCGAUUAGCUAGUUGGUGGGGUAACGGCCUACCAAGGCGACGAU